AUUGAACGCUGGCGGCAGGCCUAACACAUGCAAGUCGAACGAGUGGCGGACGGGUGAGUAAUGUCUGGGAAACUGCCUGAUGGAGGGGGAUAACUACUGGAAACGGUAGCUAAUACCGCAUACCAUCAGAUGUGCCCAGAGGGGAUUAGUUAGUUGGUGGGGUAAAGGCUCACCAAGGCGACGAUCUCUAGCUGGUCUGAGAGGAUGACCAGCCACACUGGAACUGAGACACGGUCCAGACUCCUACGGGAGGCAGCAGUGGGGAAUAUUGCGCAAUGGGCGAAAGCCUGAUGCAGCCAUGCCGCGUGAAUGAAGAAGGCCUUCGGGUUGUAAAGUUCUUUCAGCGGCGAGGCGUUACCCACAGAAGAAGCACCGGCUAACUCCGUGCCAGCAGCCGCGGUAAUUC
This 406-nucleotide ribosomal RNA is filed under the name uncultured bacterium. RNAcentral describes it as "partial 16S ribosomal RNA". It matches the Rfam family "Bacterial small subunit ribosomal RNA", at positions 30 to 526 of the family's 1533-position model. The record is from RNAcentral.